UAGGGAAUCUUCCGCAAUGGGCGAAAGCCUGACGGAGCAACGCCGCGUGAGUGAUGAAGGUCUUCGGAUCGUAAAACUCUGUUAUUAGGGAAGAACAAAUGUGUAAGUAACUAUGCACGUCUUGACGGUACCUAAUCAGAAAGCCACGGCUAACUACGUGCCAGCAGCCGCGGUAAUACGUAGGUGGCAAGCGUUAUCCGGAAUUAUUGGGCGUAAAGCGCGCGUAGGCGGUUUUUUAAGUCUGAUGUGAAAGCCCACGGCUCAACCGUGGAGGGUCAUUGGAAACUGGAAAACUUGAGUGCAGAAGAGGAAAGUGGAAUUCCAUGUGUAGCGGUGAAAUGCGCAGAGAUAUGGGGGAACACCAGUGGCGAAGGGGACUUUCUGGUCUGUAACUGACGCUGAUGUGCGAAAGCGUGGGGAUCAAACAGG
This 429-nucleotide ribosomal RNA is filed under the name Actinomycetes bacterium. Its description in RNAcentral is "Actinobacteria bacterium partial 16S ribosomal RNA". It matches the Rfam family "Bacterial small subunit ribosomal RNA", at positions 355 to 776 of the family's 1533-position model. Lineage: Bacteria; Bacillati; Actinomycetota; Actinomycetes. The record is from RNAcentral.